GAUGAACGCUGGCGGCGUGCCUAAUACAUGCAAGUCGAGCGAACGGACGAGAAGCUUGCUUCUCUGAUGUUAGCGGCGGACGGGUGAGUAACACGUGGAUAACCUACCUAUUAUACUGGGUUAACUUCGGAAAACCGUACCUAUUACCGCAUGAUAUUUUGAACCGCAUGCUUCAAAAGUGAAUGACGGUCUUCCUGUCACUAAUAGAUGGUUCGGCGCUGCAUUAGCUAGUUGGUAAGGUAACGGCUUACCAAGGCAACGAUGCAUACCCGGCCUGAGAGGGUGAUCGGCCACACUGGAACUGAGACACGGUCCAGACUCCUACGGGAGGCAGCAGUAGGGAAUCUUCCGCAAUGGGCGAAAGCCUGACGGAGCAACGCCGCGUGAGUGAUGAAGGUCUUCGGAUCGUAAAACUCUGUUAUUAGUGAAGAACAUAUGUGUAAGUAACUGUGCACAUCUUGACGGUACCUAAUCAGAAAGCCACGGCUAACUACGUG
RNAcentral lists this ribosomal RNA (497 nucleotides) under uncultured bacterium. RNAcentral's name for it is "partial 16S ribosomal RNA". It matches the Rfam family "Bacterial small subunit ribosomal RNA", at positions 28 to 507 of the family's 1533-position model. The record is from RNAcentral.